RNAcentral lists this long non-coding RNA (255 nucleotides) under Lathyrus oleraceus (garden pea). RNAcentral's name for it is "Pisum sativum (pea) long non-coding RNA (PSAT_LNC027147)". The record is from RNAcentral. Lineage: Eukaryota; Viridiplantae; Streptophyta; Magnoliopsida; Fabales; Fabaceae.
UUUUAUUUUUAUUUGUAUUUAUAUUUUUUUAAUUUCUAAAUUUUUAACAAAUUUAUUGGGCAGAAAAAUUAUUUAAAAUUUUUAAAUAUAUUUUUACAUUUAUUUUUGAUAAAUUUAUCUAAAAUUCUCUUUUUAUGGUUUAGUUAAAACUUCAACUCUUUUAUUUAUUUAUUUUUUUAGUUUCGAAUUUCAUAGACAAAAUUUUGAGUUGAUAUGAUCCUUAAUAAAAGUAAAAUUUCAUAUAAUAAAUAAAAG